GAAUUGCCGCAGAAAAUGAAAGGCAAACUGAAAAAUGUACAGUCUGAAACUAAAGGCAGGGCGAAAGCAGGAUCUUCUAAGGUUAUAGAAGAUGUGGCAUUUGCAUGUGCAUUAACUUCAUCUGUUCCUACAACAAAAAAGAAAAUGUUGAAAAAGGGAGCUUGUGCAGUGGAGGGGUCAAAGAAAACUGAUGUUGAGGAGAGACCAAGAACAACACUGAUCAUCUGUCCGCUUUCUGUGUUAAGCAACUGGAUUUCUUGCUCUGUCGCCCAGGCUGGAGUGCAAUGGCGCGAUCUCAGCUCACUGCAACCUCCACCUCCCAGGUUCAAGUGAUCCUGCUGCCUCAGCCUCUUGAGACCAGUUUGGACAACAUAUAAAAUCAGAUGUACACUUGAAUUUUUAUGUUUAUUAUGGUCCUGAUCGUAUUAGAGAACCGGCCUUACUUUCAAAACAGGAUAUUG
This 461-nucleotide long non-coding RNA is filed under the name Homo sapiens (human). RNAcentral describes it as "non-protein coding lnc-CP-3:1". Lineage: Eukaryota; Metazoa; Chordata; Mammalia; Primates; Hominidae. The record is from RNAcentral.